UCCAUAUCCAUCGACUGAAGCCUACGCAGAAUACACAUUCUAGUCCACAAGCUACUGACAUUUGUUAAGGUAAAGAUUGAGACUUUAUGAUUCAAAGGUGAGAUUUUUUGGGAAUUGGAGGAGUUGGGUCUUUGAAGAGAUGAGAUUUUGAGGUUUUGGAGGAGGAAAAAUUGAAACUUUUGAUUCAAAGGUUAGUUUUAUUUUUGGAAUUCAAGAAGUUGGGUCUUUGAAGAGUUGAGAUUUUGAGGAGGAAAAAUUGAAACUUUUGAUUCAAAGGUGAGAUUUUUUUGGAAUUGGAAGAGUUGGGUCUUUGAAGAGUUGAGAUUUGAGGUUUUGGUAGGAGGAAAAAUUGAAUUUUUUGAUUCAAUGUUGAGUUUUUUUUUGGAAUUGGAUAAGUUGAGUCUUUGAAGAGUUGAGAUUUGGAGGUUUUGGAGGAGGAAAAAUUGAUACUUUCGAUCCAAAGGUGAGAUUGUUUUGGAAUUAUACAAGUUGGGUCUUUGAAGAGUUGAGAUUUGGGGUUUGGGGAAGUGGAAAAAUUGAAACUUUUGAUCCAAAGAUGAGAUUUUUCUGAAAUUAGAGGACUUGGGUUGUUAGAGGAGAUUUGUAAACUAUAAAAUGAUAAAUCGAUUGAACUGAGAUUUCAAGGUUGAAAAUUUAAGGUCAGGGGGAAACACAUGACAAAAGAAGAAAAGAGAGUUGCAAUUAAGAGCAAAAAGGGUUUUAAAGAAGAAGAGACCAGCUAAGACUAAAAGAGACAGAUAAGAGAGACGAUGAUCGAGACAGAGACAGAGAAGCCCAAAAAGCAAGACUUCAACAACAUGUCUUUCAAUAUCCUU
This 836-nucleotide long non-coding RNA is filed under the name Capsella grandiflora. RNAcentral describes it as "long non-coding RNA (CGRA_LNC000635)". Lineage: Eukaryota; Viridiplantae; Streptophyta; Magnoliopsida; Brassicales; Brassicaceae. The record is from RNAcentral.